AUGAAGACCAGGGGCCCACACCCUGCUCACGAGGGUGGGGGACGCCCCCCUAGGGUGCGCCCCUACCUCGUGGGCCCCCUGGAUGCCCUCCGACGUCAACUCCAACUCUAUAAAUUUGCUUUCAGAGAUAAAAAAAUAAGAGAGAAGAAAUUAUCACGUUUUACGAUACGGAGCCGUCGCCAAGCCCUAAAACCUCUCAGGAGGACUGAUCUGGAGUCCAUUCGGGGCUCCGGAGAGGGGGAUUCGUCGCCGUCGUCAUCAUCAACCAUCCUCCAUCACCAAUUUCAUGAUGCUCACCGCCAUGCGUGA
Molecule: ribosomal RNA, 309 nt
Filed under: Triticum aestivum (bread wheat)
Lineage: Eukaryota; Viridiplantae; Streptophyta; Magnoliopsida; Poales; Poaceae
Description: partial small subunit ribosomal RNA
Source: RNAcentral